Molecule: ribosomal RNA, 497 nt
Filed under: uncultured bacterium
Lineage: Bacteria
Description: partial 16S ribosomal RNA
Rfam family: Bacterial small subunit ribosomal RNA
Source: RNAcentral
GAUGAACGCUGGCGGCGUGCCUAAUACAUGCGAGUCGAGCGAACAGAUAAGGAGCUUGCUCCUUUGACUUUAGCGGCGGACGGGUGAGUAACACGUGGGUAACCUACCUAUAAGACUGGAAUAACUCCGGGAAACCGGGGCUAAUGCCGGAUAACAUUUAGAACCGCAUGGCUCUAAAGUGAAAGAUGGUUUUGCUAUCACUUAUAGAUGGACCCGCGCCGUAUUAGCUAGUUGGUAAGGUAACGGCUUACCAAGGCAACGAUACGUAGCCGACCUGAGAGGGUGAUCGGCCACACUGGAACUGAGACACGGUCCAGACUCCUACGGGAGGCAGCAGUAGGGAAUCUUCCGCAAUGGGCGAAAGCCUGACGGAGCAACGCCGCGUGAGUGAUGAAGGUCUUCGGAUCGUAAAACUCUGUUAGUAGGGAAGAACAAAUGUGUAAGUAACUGUGCACGUCUUGACGGUACCUAAUCAGAAAGCCACGGCUAACUACGUG